UAUGGGAGAAACCUCAAGUUCUUCGUCCGCACGUUUACCAUGGUCUUCCCCACCAGCUCCUCGGCCUCAACGCUGUCCCCAUUCCUUUCACCAGCUGUAAGCUUGCCCAAAACCAGGACUGAGGAUUAUCAAAAAUGAAUGAUAAAAUCGCCAACAGCCACGUUAAAUGCCACAUCAUUUGACCCUCUAAAUUCAGGAACUCUACCACAAUACGGGACUGUGUUCUGAAGUUUAGUCCAGACAAAAGCCAACAUUUCCUCACGUCCUCCUGAAUAUUGUUUGAAGAUCCUUUUUUGUUACUGAAUGUGAACUUGAGGCAGAGGAGGAGGAUACCUAGAGGAAGAGGCAGGAGUCUGAGAAGAGGAAAGCUUCCAUAAUUAAUAGAGGGGGAAUCAAGGGCUGAAGACAUGGCCUCAGUAGGUGACAAUGCUUCCUGCUCUUCCAAGGAACCUAAGUUCAGUUCCCAGAACCCACAUCAAGUGACUCACAGCCACUAGGGGGUCAGACACCAUCUUCUGGUCUCCACAAAAUCAUAUAGAGAUACACACAUAUACAUACAAUUAAAAUAAAAACCUUUUUGUGAAUGAAAAAACAUUUAGGCCUCAAAUAACACACUUACUCAGACUCUGGGCAAGACAUCAUUUUGUUGUGUUUGCUCAGAGUUGGUUUCAUAGCCUAAGAUAGCUACUUACUUUGUCUACGAACCAGAAAAUCUGGAGUUGAUGUCAAAGUCCACCUAUUCUGUAGCACCCUUCCCCCAUGGAGGUUUGCUGAUCAGCUUGGGACUAGGAGCUUCUAGCAAAACACCUCUUGUCCCCCUCUCCCGGUAAGGCCUGCAAGCAAGUUCCGGUUUUCUGUCCACCCUUAUGUCUAAAUGCUAAUUCCUGUUUUUGGCUCACCCUUUGCCAGAGGGCCCUGGGAACGUAGGCUUCUGA
Mesocricetus auratus (golden hamster) is the source of this 935-nucleotide long non-coding RNA. RefSeq lists it as uncharacterized. The record is from RefSeq and is a predicted model, not a curated record. NCBI's taxonomy places the organism in Eukaryota, Metazoa, Chordata, Mammalia, Rodentia, Cricetidae. The transcript has 3 exons.